AUAGUGUUGGCAGUCUUGUAUUCACGAGAGCUUAACAAAUCACCUACUAACAGCCAGGAAGCGGAAAAGUACGAGAUCUGUGACGAUGAACAAUGUUUUAAUCUCGGCCUAGAACUGGUAAAGAACAUGAAUAAGAGCGUUGAUCCUUGCGAAGACUUCCACGCCUAUGCAUGCGGUGGAUGGGAAAGCAGACAUCCCUUGGAGGACAACGCAACAUUGGCAAUAACUUCACCAUCUAUUGUGUCUAACGAAAACAGCAACGUUCUUAAAAAGGCUUUGGAAUAUGCUCAUCUGAAUUAUUCAAAGAACGACGCUGUGAUGAAAAUGGUACGUGUGUACGACUCUUGUAUGAACACCACCGCGGUAGAUGCCCUAGGAUUACAGCCCCUCAAAGAUUUGAUCGAAGAAUAUGGCGGAUGGAGCAUUUCACAGAACUACAACCCAAAUGUUACCGUAGCGCAACGAAUUGGCAGAGCUGCACGUGAACUGAAUAUCGACUCUUUGUUUGGCAUGGAUGUGCGACCCUUUUUCUUAAACUCUGAUGUGAAUGUGCUAAUGUUAAAAGGGCUGGCAACAGGACUUAACAAAAGGGACUAUUUGGAUCAAGACGAAGACAGUGAAAAGAAACGUAAAGAAUACAAAAACUACAUGAAAGCUGUGAGUCAAAUCUUUAAUGUCUCGUACACCAAAAUGAAGGCAAUCUAUGAUUUUGAAGUAAAACUGGCUAAGAUUUCAAGUGGAAAAGACCCUGAUGCAGAGUUGAUGGAAUAUAUUAAGUCCAUUGCCAUAUCCGCUAGAAUCAGAAGAAGUACAGAAGAUUGGACAAUAACGCUUUCUAGGCUUAGCAGAGUGACUGGGUUUCCGUGGCCCGUGCUGAUUGAAGUUUUGGAUAUUCUGUUUGACAGACGGUUAACUGGAAAUGAAAAAGUACUUUCUUUGCCUGCCCAUAUAGUCUUAUUUAAAGCGAUUGGUCUUUUGUAUAGGAAAACAAAUCAUGCACUUUUAGCUGACUACAUUAUGUGGCAAGUCGUACGUCAUUACGUUGGUGGUCUUCCUAAUCAAUAUCGACCACCAAAAGGAGAUUUUUUAAUAAGCACCAACAUACCACGAUGGAAGCAGUGCAUCUAUGCCAUGUUGAUCCCCUUUGACAUGCCACUCGGCCUACUGUUUGUGGAUGUUCAUUUUAAUGAUGACGCUAAAGUUAAGAUCAGAGAAAUGAUCGAAAACACUAGAACUUCAUUUAUCCGCAAACUACCAACUCAAACUUGGAUGGACAAAAUAACUCAGGAGAAAGCAAAGGAAAAGGCGCUGGCAAUCGCCAUUGAGGAAAUUGGAUAUCCAGCGUACAUCAAGGAUCCUGUAAAACUCAAGGCACAGUAUGAUUCGCUCAAAGUAACAGACAGCCUGAUGGACAACAUGAAAGCCGCCAAUCAUUUACUUAGAAUGAGAACUUUAAAAAACUUUGAGCGCCCAGUGGACAAAAAAGAAUGGACAUUUGCAAGUCCGGCCAAAUACAAUGCUUUCUAUGCUCCUUUCUUGAACCGAAUAAUAUUCCUUGCUGGAAUUCUUCAAAAACCGAUGUACAGCCCAGGAUAUCCGAGCUACCUGAAUCAUGGUGGUAUAGGAAUGGUUAUAGGCCAUGAAAUCACGCAUGGUUUUGAUGGAACAGCCUUACUGGUGCCUCGCCUCAUCUUACCGUAACCGAAACUACUCGUUGUGGUUUGGAUAAAUUACUGGGCAACAACGAUGUGAAGGCAUUUCAAUAUUACCUACCGAGUCGUUUGUUCGACAAGAAGGGCAAUUAUAAUAAUUGGUGGUCAGCUUCAUCUGCAGCAGCCUUUGUUUCCAAAGCAAAGUGUUUCGUCAAAC
This 1869-nucleotide unclassified non-coding RNA is filed under the name Actinia tenebrosa (Australian red waratah sea anemone). Its description in RNAcentral is "endothelin-converting enzyme 1-like, transcript variant X4". The record is from RNAcentral. Lineage: Eukaryota; Metazoa; Cnidaria; Anthozoa; Actiniaria; Actiniidae.